RNAcentral lists this ribosomal RNA (2515 nucleotides) under Escherichia coli. RNAcentral's name for it is "partial 23S ribosomal RNA". It matches the Rfam family "Bacterial large subunit ribosomal RNA", at positions 375 to 2873 of the family's 2925-position model. Lineage: Bacteria; Pseudomonadati; Pseudomonadota; Gammaproteobacteria; Enterobacterales; Enterobacteriaceae. The record is from RNAcentral.
GUACACAAAAAUGCACAUAUUGUGAGCUCGAUGAGUAGGGCGGGACACGUGGUAUCCUGUCUGAAUAUGGGGGGACCAUCCUCCAAGGCUAAAUACUCCUGACUGACCGAUAGUGAACCAGUACCGUGAGGGAAAGGCGAAAAGAACCCCGGCGAGGGGAGUGAAAAAGAACCUGAAACCGUGUACGUACAAGCAGUGGGAGCCUCUUAAUGGGGUGACUGCGUACCUUUUGUAUAAUGGGUCAGCGACUUAUAUUCUGUAGCAAGGUUAACCGAAUAGGGGAGCCGAAGGGAAACCGAGUCUUAACUGGGCGUUAAGUUGCAGGGUAUAGACCCGAAACCCGGUGAUCUAGCCAUGGGCAGGUUGAAGGUUGGGUAACACUAACUGGAGGACCGAACCGACUAAUGUUGAAAAAUUAGCGGAUGACUUGUGGCUGGGGGUGAAAGGCCAAUCAAACCGGGAGAUAGCUGGUUCUCCCCGAAAGCUAUUUAGGUAGCGCCUCGUGAAUUCAUCUCCGGGGGUAGAGCACUGUUUCGGCAAGGGGGUCAUCCCGACUUACCAACCCGAUGCAAACUGCGAAUACCGGAGAAUGUUAUCACGGGAGACACACGGCGGGUGCUAACGUCCGUCGUGAAGAGGGAAACAACCCAGACCGCCAGCUAAGGUCCCAAAGUCAUGGUUAAGUGGGAAACGAUGUGGGAAGGCCCAGACAGCCAGGAUGUUGGCUUAGAAGCAGCCAUCAUUUAAAGAAAGCGUAAUAGCUCACUGGUCGAGUCGGCCUGCGCGGAAGAUGUAACGGGGCUAAACCAUGCACCGAAGCUGCGGCAGCGACACUAUGUGUUGUUGGGUAGGGGAGCGUUCUGUAAGCCUGUGAAGGUGGCCUGUGAGGGUUGCUGGAGGUAUCAGAAGUGCGAAUGCUGACAUAAGUAACGAUAAAGCGGGUGAAAAGCCCGCUCGCCGGAAGACCAAGGGUUCCUGUCCAACGUUAAUCGGGGCAGGGUGAGUCGACCCCUAAGGCGAGGCCGAAAGGCGUAGUCGAUGGGAAACAGGUUAAUAUUCCUGUACUUGGUGUUACUGCGAAGGGGGGACGGAGAAGGCUAUGUUGGCCGGGCGACGGUUGUCCCGGUUUAAGCGUGUAGGCUGGUUUUCCAGGCAAAUCCGGAAAAUCAAGGCUGAGGCGUGAUGACGAUGCACUACGGUGCUGAAGUAACAAAUGCCCUGCUUCCAGGAAAAGCCUCUAAGCAUCAGGUAACAUCAAAUCGUACCCCAAACCGACACAGGUGGUCAGGUAGAGAAUACCAAGGCGCUUGAGAGAACUCGGGUGAAGGAACUAGGCAAAAUGGUGCCGUAACUUCGGGAGAAGGCACGCUGAUAUGUAGGUGAAGCGACUUGCUCGUGGAGCUGAAAUCAGUCGAAGAUACCAGCUGGCUGCAACUGUUUAUUAAAAACACAGCACUGUGCAAACACGAAAGUGGACGUAUACGGUGUGACGCCUGCCCGGUGCCGGAAGGUUAAUUGAUGGGGUUAGCGGUAACGCGAAGCUCUUGAUCGAAGCCCCGGUAAACGGCGGCCGUAACUAUAACGGUCCUAAGGUAGCGAAAUUCCUUGUCGGGUAAGUUCCGACCUGCACGAAUGGCGUAAUGAUGGCCAGGCUGUCUCCACCCGAGACUCAGUGAAAUUGAACUCGCUGUGAAGAUGCAGUGUACCCGCGGCAAGACGGAAAGACCCCGUGAACCUUUACUAUAGCUUGACACUGAACAUUGAGCCUUGAUGUGUAGGAUAGGUGGGAGGCUUUGAAGUGUGGACGCCAGUCUGCAUGGAGCCGACCUUGAAAUACCACCCUUUAAUGUUUGAUGUUCUAACGUUGGCCCCUAAUCGGGGUUGCGGACAGUGUCUGGUGGGUAGUUUGACUGGGGCGGUCUCCUCCUAAAGAGUAACGGAGGAGCACGAAGGUUGGCUAAUCCUGGUCGGACAUCAGGAGGUUAGUGCAAUGGCAUAAGCCAGCUUGACUGCGAGCGUGACGGCGCGAGCAGGUGCGAAAGCAGGUCAUAGUGAUCCGGUGGUUCUGAAUGGAAGGGCCAUCGCUCAACGGAUAAAAGGUACUCCGGGGAUAACAGGCUGAUACCGCCCAAGAGUUCAUAUCGACGGCGGUGUUUGGCACCUCGAUGUCGGCUCAUCACAUCCUGGGGCUGAAGUAGGUCCCAAGGGUAUGGCUGUUCGCCAUUUAAAGUGGUACGCGAGCUGGGUUUAGAACGUCGUGAGACAGUUCGGUCCCUAUCUGCCGUGGGCGCUGGAGAACUGAGGGGGGCUGCUCCUAGUACGAGAGGACCGGAGUGGACGCAUCACUGGUGUUCGGGUUGUCAUGCCAAUGGCACUGCCCGGUAGCUAAAUGCGGAAGAGAUAAGUGCUGAAAGCAUCUAAGCACGAAACUUGCCCCGAGAUGAGUUCUCCCUGACUCCUUGAGGGUCCUGAAGGAACGUUGAAGACGACGACGUUGAUAGGCCGGGUGUGUAAG